GACGAACGCUGGCGGCGUGCUUAACACAUGCAAGUCGAACGGAAAGGCCCUGCUUUUGUGGGGUGCUCGAGUGGCGAACGGGUGAGUAACACGUGAGUAACCUGCCCUUGACUUUGGGAUAACUUCAGGAAACUGGGGCUAAUACCGGAUAGGAGCUCCUGCUGCAUGGUGGGGGUUGGAAAGUUUCGGCGGUUGGGGAUGGACUCGCGGCUUAUCAGCUUGUUGGUGGGGUAGUGGCUUACCAAGGCUUUGACGGGUAGCCGGCCUGAGAGGGUGACCGGCCACAUUGGGACUGAGAUACGGCCCAGACUCCUACGGGAGGCAGCAGUGGGGAAUAUUGCACAAUGGGCGGAAGCCUGAUGCAGCAACGCCGCGUGCGGGAUGACGGCCUUCGGGUUGUAAACCGCUUUCGCCUGUACCGAAGCGUGAGUGACGGUAAUGGGUAAAGAAGCACCGGCUAACUACGUG
RNAcentral lists this ribosomal RNA (468 nucleotides) under uncultured bacterium. RNAcentral's name for it is "partial 16S ribosomal RNA". It matches the Rfam family "Bacterial small subunit ribosomal RNA", at positions 28 to 507 of the family's 1533-position model. The record is from RNAcentral.